UACGAAGGGGGCUAGCGUUGCUCGGAAUUACUGGGCGUAAAGCGCACGUAGGCGGCUUUCUAAGUCGGGGGUGAAAUCCUGGAGCUCAACUCCAGAACUGCCUUCGAUACUGGAGAGCUCGAGUCCGGGAGAGGUGAGUGGAACUGCGAGUGUAGAGGUGAAAUUCGUAGAUAUUCGCAAGAACACCAGUGGCGAAGGCGGCUCACUGGCCCGAUACUGACGCUGAGGCACGAAAGCGUGGGGAGCAAACAGG
RNAcentral lists this ribosomal RNA (253 nucleotides) under uncultured bacterium. RNAcentral describes it as "partial 16S ribosomal RNA". It matches the Rfam family "Bacterial small subunit ribosomal RNA", at positions 524 to 776 of the family's 1533-position model. The record is from RNAcentral.